CCUACGGGAGGCUGCAGUGGGGAAUAUUGCGCAAUGGAGGGAACUCUGACGCAGCGACGCCGCGUGAAGGAAGAAGGCCUUCGGGUUGUAAACUUCUUUGAUCGGGGACGAAAAUGACGGUACCCGAGGAACAAGCCACGGCUAACUACGUGCCAGCAGCCGCGGUAAUACGUAGGUGGCGAGCGUUGUCCGGAAUUACUGGGUGUAAAGGGCGUGUAGGCGGGGCGUCAAGUCAGGUGUGAAAUUCCGAGGCUUAACUUCGGGUGUGCAUCUGAAACUGAUGUUCUUGAGUGUCGGAGAGGAAAGUGGAAUUCCCAGUGUAGCGGUGAAAUGCGUAGAGAUUGGGAGGAACACCAGUGGCGAAGGCGGCUUUCUGGACGAUAACUGACGCUGAGGCGCGAAAGCGUGGGUAGCAAACAGGAUUAGAUACCCGGGUAGUC
Molecule: ribosomal RNA, 440 nt
Filed under: uncultured Clostridium sp.
Lineage: Bacteria; Bacillati; Bacillota; Clostridia; Eubacteriales; Clostridiaceae
Description: bacterial SSU rRNA
Rfam family: Bacterial small subunit ribosomal RNA
Source: RNAcentral